UACGGGGGGGGCAAGCGUUGUUCGGAAUUACUGGGCGUAAGGGGCUCGUAGGCGGCCAACUAAGUCAGACGUGAAAUCCCUCGGCUUAACCGGGGAACUGCGUCUGAUACUGGAUGGCUUGAGAUUGGGAGAGGGAUGCGGAAUUCCAGGUGUAGCGGUGAAAUGCGUAGAUAUCUGGAGGAACACCGGUGGCGAAGGCGGCAUCCUGGACCAACACUGACGCUGAGGAGCGAAAGCCAGGGGAGCAAACGGG
This 253-nucleotide ribosomal RNA is filed under the name uncultured bacterium. Its description in RNAcentral is "partial 16S ribosomal RNA". It matches the Rfam family "Bacterial small subunit ribosomal RNA", at positions 524 to 776 of the family's 1533-position model. The record is from RNAcentral.